Molecule: ribosomal RNA, 207 nt
Filed under: uncultured bacterium
Lineage: Bacteria
Description: partial 16S ribosomal RNA
Rfam family: Bacterial small subunit ribosomal RNA
Source: RNAcentral
CACGUAGGCGGAUAUUUAAGUCAGAGGUGAAAUCCCAGAGCUCAACUCUGGAACUGCCUUUGAUACUGGGUAUCUUGAGUAUGGAAGAGGUAAGUGGAAUUCCGAGUGUAGAGGUGAAAUUCGUAGAUAUUCGGAGGAACACCAGUGGCGAAGGCGGCUUACUGGUCCAUUACUGACGCUGAGGUGCGAAAGCGUGGGGAGCAAACA